This is an unclassified non-coding RNA of Cricetulus griseus (Chinese hamster), 87 nucleotides long. Its record names the gene 7SK. It matches the Rfam family "7SK RNA". From Rfam's summary of the family: 7SK was discovered as an abundant small nuclear RNA in the mid-70s but a possible function has only recently been suggested. Lineage: Eukaryota; Metazoa; Chordata; Mammalia; Rodentia; Cricetidae. The record is from Ensembl.
GAACGAUUUGGAGAUGAUCUGGCCGCAGCACUGGUUGCCAGGGUUGAUUCAACAGACCUGCUGGCUGGCGGGUGCCCUCUUCCUCUC